UUGUUCCGGAUCCGAAAUUUCAAUCGUCUGUGGUUCCCUCGCAUCUCACAUCCGCCCUCACCCCACGCCUUCUGCCGCCUCCCCCGCACCUCCCCGCCUCCACCCAUCUCGCCGACAGCAACCCCCUGCCAUGCCACAGGGCUAGGGCGACAGGCCGGGCCGAGCCAACGGCAGGCGGCAAGGCGAUGCACCGGGCGGAGCGGCCGGCGGGCGCGACGUGGCACUCUCGGCGGAGUGGGCGGCGUCGGCGGCGAGGCGGCGCUCCAGGCGGAGAGGCGGCGCGCUGGCCGCAUGCCCGCCGUAAGGAUCUGGUCGGCGACCUCCAAACGGAGCUCGAUGGCCGCCGCGAGCCAACGCGCCCGGCGGAGCGGCCAGCAGGCAGCGGGGUCGCGUGCAUAUCUCUCUUCCUCCCGCCUGAUCCCUAGAUCUAGGAUGGGGCAAGGGCGGCGCGGGCGAGGGAGGCCGCGGCGGCCGGCACCGGCGAGCGGCAACCCCCUGCAAGGGCGCGCGCAAGGGCGCACACAAGGGUGCACGCCGGCCCCCCGGCGGCACGGCCAUGAUCUGCGCGGCGGCGGCCCCCGGUGACGGCGCGCGGCGCCGCCUCCCGUGGAGGCCCACGCGACGGCAACCAGGCCGCCGCCGCGGCGGUCUCCAGGUCAUGGCGAACCUCUUCUUCCCGUCGCCCCUCCACCUCGCCCGCCCCCGACGCCCUCCUCCACUCCGACUCCUCCGCCGCCAUCAACCGCGCUCCCCUCCUCCGCUUCCAGGAAGGGAGCUCCAGUUCUUCUUCAAGAUCAGGAUGCAGAUGUUCGACCCGCCCACUGAUCUCCCUCGCUGGUGUGCAUGGCGAGCGCGAUGGCAACGGGCCGUGGCCACCGGCGGCUAAAGCUGCCUCGAUGCACUGUCAUUGAAGAUGAAGCGUGAGGCAGCAGAGGGAGCGCCCGUGAUGCUAGCGUUGAUCUGCCUCAAUGUAUGUGUACUCAAAUGGGAGCUCACUUUCCUGAAUUUCUGGAAUGCUAGCGUUGAUCUGCCUCAAUAUGUGGUGCUGACCGUAAUGCAUUGCGCUGUGAAGCAGCCCACACAGUCUUCAGUGGAUGAUUGGCAUCAUAAAUCACUGGUCUUGGAGAAUCAUACUGAAAUUUGGAUGCUGGGAUAAUAAGGUGCAGUGGAUUCAGACGUCACCUUGGCAUGUCACCUUUUGUGCUUGCAGGUUCUCCAACUAUUUACUGGUAGCCAUGUCUUUGAUAUAUUUCUUUGGAUUCCAGAUGCAGCACUUUAGGUGGUGAUACUAAAUUAUCAAUUAAUCACAUGAAGCGUUUUACAUUUUGAAAAGGUUUUUUCCAUAUCGUGAGAUAAUCAACCCAAUAUUAUUGGCUGAGAUUGCAUCAACAUGUCUUUUCUAGAAAAUUUCGUUUUGGCUCCCACUGUAAAGAAAUCAUAUUAUCUUUUACCCUGUUUAUAAGUUCUAGAGUGAGCGAAACUAUGAACGGUGAUUCUGGACAUAAUUAAAUAUCUUCUCGAUUUUUUUUGGAUUUGAUGAUUCAGAUGCCUCUGCUGGUGAUAUAUGACUGCUUGCAUCGCUUCAUUCAGGAUCAGCUUGUGGGACAGAUCCACCUUGGUAUUUUUUUUUGGUAUAAACAAAGAACAAUCCCUUGGCAUUUGUCUCCAAAAGAUGUUCAUAUUAUUGACUGACGAGAUGUAGCAAUAAAAAUGCUGUCAAUUCUGUCAGCAAGUCCUGUUCUUACUGUCAUUGAAUGCUGAUGUUUUUUUUCUCACAUUUAUUCUUUACAUGGUUCCUUCUUAUGCAAUCGUUAUCUUUUCAUUCAUUGUCGAUCUGCUUAUUUGUCUUCCUCACUCUGACGGAAUGCCUGUGUUAUGUCAUAAUCUUUAUUAUUGUCCUACGACACUGUUGAUUUAUCUUUGAUUAGGAACUAACUGUACCAAUGGUGCUAUUUUGUAAUUGUGAUUGGCUCUAGGUGCUCAAAGGCUAGCCAUCCUGUCUCUCCACGCCAGCCUGUUGCAGUUUGUAGAUUAACAAGAGCAUUUUCUGAAUGUGUAGCCAUAACUCUUCCUAAAUAAUGUGUAGAUUGGCAAGAGCCAAGAGCUUCCUGAAAUUUUGUUUUGCGCACCUGAAGCUACAGAAUUGAAAAGUUUGGCACCUUCAAGCUGUUUAUAUUCAGGCUAUAUUGGUAUGUAUACUGAUGAGUGGAUUCUUUUUUUUAAGCAUAUCAUCUGACAUGGUCUUCUGAUAACUUAAAUGCAGUACAUAUUAUCAGUGAUUAUAUUAGGUGCCUUUCCCAAACUCUUUGUUUCUGAUCCUGUUUUCAAUCAGUGCAUAUAUUAUGUAUUCCUAAUGAGCAAAAUUUUUUAUACUGUUGCAGGUUUUAAAGAUUGGCAGAAUAGAACUAUUUAGCGUGGUGUCCCAAAUUCUUUUGUUUUAUUUAGUGUAUAUUAUUAUUACACAUAAAUAUUACAUGUGUUGUUUUCUUUUACCCGUAGUGUUAGCACGGGCCAACUAACUAGUAUCAUUAGGUAGCAAUCUAUUCUUAGAAUUACCAAUAGUACAUAUGAACGAGUUUACCUUAUCAUCAAUGGUCGUAUCCGAAGGUAUCAUGUUCUCAUCAUUCUUCCCCAGCGGAGUCGCAAAAAAUAUGUUGACACAAAUUUGGUCAAUACACAACAAGUGCUAGAGCGCACGGAUCGCAGCGAUCAAUCACCAGCAGGCCCCAAAUGGCGAUUGGUCAGACCGGUCAUGCCAACCAGUCAGGCUGGUUGGAUGCAGAAAACCCGUGAAGACUUAGAACCUCAAGCUCGAAGAUCUGGGGUUGUUUUGAGGUCAGCAGGCCACUCAUGACACUCUUGAACACUGUAGAGACGCAAGAAGAACAACAAAGAAGUUGGAAAAGCUAGGGUUUGGAAAAAAAGGUAAAGAGAAUUGUAUUGAUUCGAUUGUGGUUUAAAACCCUUAAUCGGCCGUAGCCUUUAUAUUUAUAGGCCGGGAGGAUGUACUUCUUCCAAAUUGGGUUGCAAAAGGACUCGAAUUAUAAA
This is a long non-coding RNA of Panicum virgatum (switchgrass), 3048 nucleotides long. RefSeq lists it as uncharacterized. The record is from RefSeq and is a predicted model, not a curated record. Lineage: Eukaryota; Viridiplantae; Streptophyta; Magnoliopsida; Poales; Poaceae. The transcript is spliced from 3 exons.